AGAGGCGCGUGGCCCACAGACUUUGUGCGCUUGUAGGUGUAGGCGACGGGAGCCCAUCUCUCCCCUCCUCAAAAGUGCCUUCAUCCCACACACCACACCACACCACACCAUACCACACCACGACACAGCGACGCCGACAGUCACCGACUGCGCUCAGAGAGAGAGAGAAGCAAGGAUCGAGAAUGGGCCGCGCAUCCAAGGAUAAGCGCGAUAUCUACUACCGCAAGGCCAAGGAGGAGGGCUACCGUGCUCGCAGCGCGUACAAGCUGCUCCAGAUCCAUGAGGAGUUCAACAUUCUCGACCCGGCCGAGAUCCGCACCGGGGCGGUGGACCUGUGUGCCGCGCCUGGCAGCUGGUCGCAGGUGCUUGCCCAGCACUUUAAGAUGAUCGGCGCGAACCUCACUGCUGCUGCAGAGGGGGACUCUCUGCCGGCGCAGACGCCGCGCGUGGUGGCGGUGGACCUGCAAGAGAUGGCCCCCAUCGACGGGGUCACCCUUCUUCAGGGGGACAUAACGAGCGAGGUGACCGCGAGGGAGAUUAUUCGGCUUCUGAACGCGCCGACGCCGACUGGGGUGGCGCUCACCGAUGACGAGCAGCAGCAGCCUGCCAACAGCUCUUUCUCUUCGCCUGCUCCUUCUCCCGCGCUCGGUGCGUCGCCGCGGAAGGCGGACAUCGUCCUCUGCGACGGCGCUCCCGAUGUGACGGGUAUGCACGAGCUGGACGAGUACCUGCAGCACCACCUGCUUCUGGCGGCGCUGCACAUCACCACGUUCGUGCUACGGGCCGGUGGCUGCUUCCUGACGAAGAUGUUCCGCGGCCCCAACACCGCCUUUCUCGUCGCGAAAAGCGGACUCUUCUUUCAGCAGGUGCGCGUCGUGAAGCCCAAGUCCUCACGCAACGCGUCCAUGGAGAGCUUCCUCCUCUGCCAGGGCUUUCGCAUGCCGCUCGGGUACGUGCCUCGCUUCGUCGGCGCUGUGGCGCCUGCUGCGGCUUCCUCUGCCGCUACCGGCUGCUCGAGGGGUGCCGCAUCGACGAGCGCCGGCUGCGGCUCACGCGUAGAGGCUGAUAAUGAGCAGGGUAUGAAGGGAGAGCGGAGCGAGACGGCAACCGUGAGCGACGGCCCACUCCGCGCCAGCGGCUUCACGCCGGAGGCGCCGUUGUACUGCUACGAUACGACCGCGUCUUUCUCACACGCGUCGGAUGGUGGCGCCGCCGCAGCGGCAACAGUGCACGACGUGGCGCACCAUAACCAGCGCACAUCGUGCGCGCUCGCGGACCGAGUCCUGGCCCCGUUCCUCUCCUGCGGCGACCUUUCAGGCUUUGACGCGGACAUGUGCUACGACAGGGAUGAGGAUGCCGACGUGCUGGAGCCGGUGCAGCCGCCGCUGCAAGCACCGUACUUGGCCGCUGCCGCUGCUUCGCCGUCACAGUUGGCAGAGGUUGCCGAUGGCCGUGACACAGAGGCGGACGCGUCGCAGAAGAAAAAGAUUCGCGUGGAGUCGCCGACGGCUACCGCAGGUCGCGACAGCAGCACCGGCGGAGAAGAGCAGCAGUGAGGUGUCACCUCCUCCCCCUCCCCCUCUACCCUGGCCGGCGCGCGCGUCUGUCUUCUCUUCCCGGCCAAGGAAGGCUCGAUGGGGCGCAUGCGUCGCGGAUGAGGAGGUCCGCUCGCACAUACCUUAAGUGAAACACUUGAUAGCAGCAGCACACAACACAGAACUCAAUCCAGGCCUCCGUCCUGACGUGCGCGCGUGUACGGGGAGGCAUCCUCCCCCACAUCGCGCCCUCCCUCGACACUCUUC
RNAcentral lists this unclassified non-coding RNA (1802 nucleotides) under Leishmania donovani. RNAcentral describes it as "gene:LdHU3.02.0460(CDS-product:FtsJ-like_methyltr ansferase_putative)". Lineage: Eukaryota; Euglenozoa; Kinetoplastea; Trypanosomatida; Trypanosomatidae. The record is from RNAcentral.